CCCACAAUCACGCCGUUCCCUCUCCUUCCUCUCUUUCUCCUCUGCGCCUGCCUCCCUCCCUCCCCAUCGACCCGCGCCUGCCUCCUCCCCAUCGGCCCCCUUCCCCCGUCGCUCAUCCUCUUGCGUCACCCGAAGGGGAGCCGCCGCUGCUCGGCCCUCUCCCCCUCGGCGUCGAGCGGCUCAUGGCGGUGCCGGAUCCGGUGUCGGGGUCGAGGGGCACGCAGGAUCCAGGCGUGACGGCUCAUUGGUGAGCGCGGUGGCCGCCAUGGACGAGCUCAAGCCGGGUCAUGUGGGCGCGUUGGUUAGCGCGGCGGCGGCCAUGGCCGAGCUCGAGCCCGGGUGCACCGGCGAGGGUACUAGGGGAUUUCACCGUGAUCUCCUCCUCGUCGUCGGUCAGUUGUCUUGCAGGUAGUUCAAGGGUGUGACCUCUUGGCCGUGCGGUUUGCUUGCCGUCACCUUGGCCGCCGGCAUGCCGUUGAAGAGUCCAGUAGUGUUCUUCCUCUUGCAGCGGAUAAGUUGUGGCUCUUCGGGGAUAGCUCACAUUGCUUAGUUGCGCAGAGAACUAGGAGAUCUCAUCUAACUAUCUUGGUUGAGCUUGUUCAAUUGACAAGGCGGUGGUAACUUCAGAAUUUCAUGAAUGAGAAUAUUGUUUAUAUUGUCAGAAGUUCACAUCAUGUGCCUUCCCUUCAGUUUUCACAUGAAACUAAUUUUUCUCCCAUGUUUAGAAUUUAUACAUACGGCAGGAAAGUACAGCUUAUCCAGAGACACCAAUUGGAAGAGGUACAGCAUAUGCAUUUCAAAGAGAACUGGACUCUGCUAUUUCUGAUUUCGCCAAGGACUCCAGUAAUAACCACAUUAUGAAAUGGGCGAUAAUCAGCGAUGCUAUUUACAUCAGUGAUGACGAAGGUAAGCACCGCCAUAAACGCCAACGUGCCAAAAAGACAAGGGGUCGAGCUCCAUGUAGCGAACCAUGUCUUUGUGAGAGGACCUUAACAAGAGAUUGUUCUUCACAAGUUAGACUGAACUCUUACGCAUAGGACCAAUAUGGUGCGAACUAUGGGGCAAACCAUCGCUCACUAUCCACAAGCGCAAGUUCAUGUGACGUGCCAUGUGAGAAGUCGAACGUGAAGACAAUCAAGUGAAGUUAUCAGAUAGUAUGCUUUAGUUGAACUGUAUAGAUGCGCUCUGACUUGAUUUUGUUGUCUAACUCUACUCUGUGUAUCUAACUUAAUGUGAAUUGAUCGUCCUGCCUUAGUUUUGGAACAAAGAAAUGUUUCUCUUUUAUUAUGAGCCUCCAGAUCAUUUGUUGUACUGAUUAAAUAUUUCCUACUCACCUUGCUUUUGGUAUACCCAACAUUGUUCUUGAUUUACUUUUGGAACACAAUAUA
Long non-coding RNA from Triticum aestivum (bread wheat), 1388 nucleotides. RefSeq lists it as uncharacterized. The record is from RefSeq and is a predicted model, not a curated record. Lineage: Eukaryota; Viridiplantae; Streptophyta; Magnoliopsida; Poales; Poaceae. The transcript is spliced from 10 exons.